RNAcentral lists this ribosomal RNA (305 nucleotides) under uncultured bacterium. Its description in RNAcentral is "bacterial SSU rRNA". It matches the Rfam family "Bacterial small subunit ribosomal RNA", at positions 338 to 640 of the family's 1533-position model. The record is from RNAcentral.
CCUACGGGAGGCAGCAGUGAGGAAUAUUGGUCAAUGGGCGAGAGCCUGAACCAGCCAAGUCGCGUGAAGGAUGACGGCCCUACGGGUUGUAAACUUCUUUUGUCAGGGAGCAAUUGGGUCCACGCGUGGGCUUAGCGAGAGUACCUGAAGAAAAAGCAUCGGCUAACUCCGUGCCAGCAGCCGCGGUAAUACGGAGGAUGCGAGCGUUAUCCGGAUUUAUUGGGUUUAAAGGGUGCGUAGGCGGGCAUUUAAGCCGGCGGUCAAAUGUCGGGGCUCAACCCCGGCCUGCCGUCGGAACUGGGUGC